RNAcentral lists this ribosomal RNA (301 nucleotides) under uncultured bacterium. Its description in RNAcentral is "partial 16S ribosomal RNA". It matches the Rfam family "Bacterial small subunit ribosomal RNA", at positions 509 to 807 of the family's 1533-position model. The record is from RNAcentral.
CAGCAGCCGCGGUAAUACGUAGGUGGCAAGCGUUGUCCGGAAUUAUUGGGCGUAAAGGGCUCGCAGGCGGUUUCUUAAGUCUGAUGUGAAAGCCCCCGGCUCAACCGGGGAGGGUCAUUGGAAACUGGGAAACUUGAGUGCAGAAGAGGAGAGUGGAAUUCCACGUGUAGCGGUGAAAUGCGUAGAGAUGUGGAGGAACACCAGUGGCGAAGGCGACCCUCUGGUCUGUAACUGACGCUGAGGAGCGAAAGCGUGGGGAGCGAACAGGAUUAGAUACCCCCGUAGUCCCUGUCUCUUAUAC